ACGCACGCUGGCGGCGUGCUUCACACCUGCAGGUCGAACGGAAAGGCCCCUUUGGGGGUACUCGAGUGGCGAACGGGUGAGUAACACGUGAGUAACCUGCCCUUGACUUCGGGAUAACUUCAGGAAACUGGGGCUAAUACCGGAUAGGAAUCCUUGCUGCAUGGUGGGGGUUGGAAAGCUUCGGCGGUUUUGGAUGGACUCGCGGCUUAUCAGCUUGUUGGUGGGGUAGUGGCUUACCAAGGCUUUGACGGGUAGCCGGCCUGAGAGGGCGACCGGCCACAUUGGGACUGAGAUACGGCCCAGACUCCUACGGGAGGCAGCAGUGGGGAAUAUUGCACAAUGGGCGGAAGCCUGAUGCAGCAACGCCGCGUGCGGGAUGACGGCCUUCGGGUUGUAAACCGCUUUCAGCAGGGGCGAAGCUUGUGGUGACGGUACCUGCAGAAGAAGCACCGGCUAACUACGUG
This 464-nucleotide ribosomal RNA is filed under the name uncultured bacterium. RNAcentral's name for it is "partial 16S ribosomal RNA". It matches the Rfam family "Bacterial small subunit ribosomal RNA", at positions 29 to 507 of the family's 1533-position model. The record is from RNAcentral.